Long non-coding RNA from Harpegnathos saltator (Jerdon's jumping ant), 361 nucleotides. RefSeq lists it as uncharacterized. Lineage: Eukaryota; Metazoa; Arthropoda; Insecta; Hymenoptera; Formicidae. The record is from RefSeq and is a predicted model, not a curated record. The transcript is spliced from 3 exons.
UUACAGAUCUGCUGGAAUUUGCAGCCACGCGAUAGCUGUGGUGGUGGUGGAUCGGCGCAGUUUCGACGGACGCCGAUGUCGCACCGGAGGAUCCGGUUCGGGCCGAGCAGAGUCGGCUUGAAGAUCCGUAGCAGAACGCGGCUGACUCUGUCUGCUGUGUAUCGGUCCGCGAUCGCUGAUUAAGAAGAAGCCCUGGAGCCACGCGGGGCAGCAUUGAAGGUGGCGGGCGCAGAGUUAGUAAGAGAAUGAGUGGGGGGAAGGAGAGGAGGAGAAGCUCGAGAGAAGCUGAGGGGACUGAAAAUCGGCGCUGCGCUAUAUAUCGAAUCGCACCGGCGAAUUGCCGAAUUCGGUUUUGCAUUAA